This 550-nucleotide long non-coding RNA is filed under the name Sarcophilus harrisii (Tasmanian devil). RNAcentral's name for it is "lncRNA (ENSSHAG00000023888.1)". The record is from RNAcentral. Lineage: Eukaryota; Metazoa; Chordata; Mammalia; Dasyuromorphia; Dasyuridae.
CCUUGGGGAGUGGGACACAUGGUGUAUUCAUUUCCUCUAACCUCUGUUCUAAGUUUCAUUCUGUUUUCUUGAUCCUAUGUUGAGCAUUGGGAGUCAUGUGCUUAUAAUGGGAAUUGGGAGAAGGACACUGGUGCUGUCAUUAGUGAAGCUCCCAGAUCUUCUGGUGGGCUCCAAGAGCCAGAGCAGAGAGAAUUUCCUCCAAGAGCCCCUUUGAGUCCCAUGAGAAUCAAGUCACCAACACAAGGGUUACAUCUGCUUUUUGUGAAACAGUCAUAUUUAUUCUGAACUCAGAAUGUCUAAAGAGGAAAUACUUGGAAUUUUCAUAAAUACGGGGUCUGCAGGGGGAUUACUGCCUGAAAGUCUUCCAGGAGCCCAACGAGGCAGACAUAGUACCAACAUAUUAAAGUUCUCAAUGGAAGACGCAUUGGUAUCUCAUGCAUCUUCCCUGACCAAAGGCUGGGAUUUUGAAGCGGGCCAUUUCAGGAGUCCCGAUGUCCUUCUCCGGGUCCCUUCGGAUCCGAUCUUGACAUCUUUGUUGUUGCAGAAAUGA